RNAcentral lists this non-coding RNA (21 nucleotides) under Arabidopsis thaliana (thale cress). The record is from RNAcentral. Lineage: Eukaryota; Viridiplantae; Streptophyta; Magnoliopsida; Brassicales; Brassicaceae.
CUCUAACCAGAUGAGUAUGCC